Molecule: transfer RNA, 92 nt
Filed under: Verrucomicrobiota bacterium
Lineage: Bacteria; Pseudomonadati; Verrucomicrobiota
Also listed under: 1 other name
Description: Verrucomicrobia bacterium (groundwater metagenome) tRNA-Ser
Rfam family: tRNA
About the family: Transfer RNA (tRNA) molecules are approximately 80 nucleotides in length. Their secondary structure includes four short double-helical elements and three loops (D, anti-codon, and T loops). Further hydrogen bonds mediate the characteristic L-shaped molecular structure. tRNAs have two regions of fundamental functional importance: the anti-codon, which is responsible for specific mRNA codon recognition, and the 3' end, to which the tRNAs corresponding amino acid is attached (by aminoacyl-tRNA synthetases). tRNAs cope with the degeneracy of the genetic code in two manners: having more than one tRNA (with a specific anti-codon) for a particular amino acid; and 'wobble' base-pairing, i.e. permitting non-standard base-pairing at the 3rd anti-codon position.
Source: RNAcentral
GGAGGGAUGGCAGAGUCCGGCUGAAUGCGCAUGACUCGAAAUCAUGUGACCUCUUACGGGGUCCGGGGGUUCAAAUCCCUCUCCCUCCGCCA